This 463-nucleotide ribosomal RNA is filed under the name uncultured bacterium. RNAcentral's name for it is "partial 16S ribosomal RNA". It matches the Rfam family "Bacterial small subunit ribosomal RNA", at positions 28 to 523 of the family's 1533-position model. The record is from RNAcentral.
GAUGAACGCUUGCGGCGUGCCUAAUACAUGCAAGUCGAGCGGCAGCACGGUCUUCGGACUGGUGGCGAGCGGCGGACGGCUGAGUAACGCGUAGGAACAUGCCCCAAAGUGAGGAAUAACUGCCCGAAAGGGUGGCUAAUGCCGCAUGUGGUCUUCGGGGAAAAGGAUUUAUUCGCUUCAGGAUGGACUCGCGUCCAAUUAGCUAGUUGGUGAGGUAACGGCCCACCAAGGCGACGAUUGGUAGCCGGACUGAGAGGUUGAACGGCCACAUUGGGACUGAGACACGGCCCAGACUCCUACGGGAGGCAGCAGUGGGGGAUAUUGCACAAUGGGGGAAACCCUGAUGCAGCGACGCCGCGUGGAGGAAGAAGGUUUUCGGAUUGUAAACUCCUGUCGUUAGGGACGAUAAUGACGGUACCUAACCAGAAAGCACCGGCUAACUACGUGCCAGCCGCCGCGGUAA